Molecule: ribosomal RNA, 442 nt
Filed under: uncultured bacterium
Lineage: Bacteria
Description: partial 16S ribosomal RNA
Rfam family: Bacterial small subunit ribosomal RNA
Source: RNAcentral
CCUACGGGUGGCAGCAGUGGGGGAUAUUGCACAAUGGGGGAAACCCUGAUGCAGCGACGCCGCGUGGGCGAAGAAGUAUUUCGGUAUGUAAAGCCCUAGCAGCAGGGAAGAAGAAUUGACGGUACCUGCGUACGAAGCACCGGCUAAAUACGUGCCAGCAGACGCGGUAAUACGUAUGGUGCAAGCGUUAUCCGGAUUUACUGGGUGUAAAGGGAGCGCAGGCGGCACGGCAAGCCUGUUGUGAAAGCCCGCGGCCCAACCGCGGGACUGCAUUGGGAACUACCGGGCUGGAGUGACGGAGAGGGAGGCGGAAUUCCUGGUGUAGCGGUGAAAUGCGUAGAUAUUAGGAGGAACACCAGUGGCGAAGGCGGCCUACUGGACGGUGACUGACGCUGAGGCUCGAAAGCGUGGGGAGCGAACAGGAUUAGAUACCCCUGUAGUC